Molecule: ribosomal RNA, 932 nt
Filed under: human gut metagenome
Description: bacterial SSU rRNA
Rfam family: Bacterial small subunit ribosomal RNA
Source: RNAcentral
AAUGGGGGAAACCCUGAUGCAGCAACGCCGCGUGAAGGAAGACGGUUUUCGGAUUGUAAACUUCUGUUCUUAGUGAAGAAUAAUGACGGUAGCUAAGGAGCAAGCCACGGCUAACUACGUGCCAGCAGCCGCGGUAAUACGUAGGUGGCAAGCGUUGUCCGGAAUUACUGGGUGUAAAGGGAGCGUAGGCGGGAUGCCAAGUCAGCUGUGAAAACUAUGGGCUUAACCUGUAGACUGCAUUUGAAACUGGUAUUCUUGAGUGAAGUGCAGAGGUUGGCGGAAUUCCGAGUGUAGCGGUGAAAUGCGUAGAUAUUAGGAGGAACACCAGUGGCGAAGGCGGCCAACUGGGCUUUAACUGACGCUGAGGCUCGAAAGUGUGGGGAGCAAACAGGAUUAGAUACCCUGGUAGUCCACACUGUAAACGAUGAUAACUAGGUGUGGGGGGUCUGACCCCUUCCGUGCCGCAGCUAACGCAAUAAGUUAUCCACCUGGGGAGUACGACCGCAAGGUUGAAACUCAAAGGAAUUGACGGGGACCCGCACAAGCAGUGGAUUAUGUGGUUUAAUUCGAAGCAACGCGAAGAACCUUACCAGCACUUGACAUCCGACUAACGAAGUAGAGAUACAUUAGGUGCCCUUCGGGGAAAGUCGAGACAGGUGGUGCAUGGUUGUCGUCAGCUCGUGUCGUGAGAUGUUGGGUUAAGUCCCGCAACGAGCGCAACCCCUGCCAUUAGUUGCUACGCAAGAGCACUCUAAUGGGACCGCUACCGACAAGGUGGAGGAAGGUGGGGACGACGUCAAAUCAUCAUGCCCCUUAUGUCCUGGGCUACACACGUAAUACAAUGGCCAUCAACAAAGAGAAGCAAUACCGCGAGGUGGAGCAAAACUUCAAAAAUGGUCUCAGUUCGGACUGCAGGCUGCAACCCGCCUGCA